GUAGUUUUUGGUGAAGGAUAAGAGACAUACAAAGCAAAGUAAGAGAAUGUUAAAUAACAAGAAAAAUAAACAAAAAUAAAUGAAAAAACAGAAUAGAGAAGUGCACAGGAUAAGCAAAUAUGGGGAAUCUCUGUCUUCUAUAAAAUGGACAGGAAUAAGAGUCCUUAAUCACCAAAAUCACCAAAUCCCACGGAUCCUAUCACUGCACCCUCUCUUCUCCUUCAACCUUAUCCCUCCAUCUUAUCUCCUCAAACCUUCAGAAAACCAAAACCAAAUCCAACACAUCGCAGCAAAAACCUCUCCCCCACCCCCAAAACACUAACAUUUGUCAACCCAAAAAAAAUCGAUCUUUUAAAAAAACAAAAAAAGAAAAAAUAAAGAAUAAAGAAAAUCGUAGCCAAUCAGAUGGAUGCCAACAGCCAGCAGGCCCAAUCCGCCUCUUACCCGCCACAGCCUCCCGCCAGUGGCGCCCCUGCUCCGCCUGCUCCAACCCCUUUCCACCACCUCCUCCAGCAGCAACAGCAGCAACUCCAAAUGUUCUGGUCCUACCAGCGCCAGGAGAUCGAGCAGGUGAAUGAUUUCAAGAACCACCAACUUCCUCUCGCUCGUAUCAAGAAGAUCAUGAAGGCCGAUGAAGAUGUUCGCAUGAUCUCCGCUGAGGCUCCCAUUCUAUUUGCUAAGGCGUGUGAACUCUUCAUUUUGGAGCUUACUAUACGGUCUUGGCUUCACGCCGAGGAGAACAAGCGCCGGACUCUUCAGAAAAACGAUAUCGCUGCAGCCAUUACCAGGACCGAUAUUUUUGAUUUCUUGGUGGAUAUUGUGCCCAGAGAUGAGAUCAAAGAUGAGGCUGGGCUGGGAGGGAUGGUUGGGGCCACGGCUAGCGGAGUGCCUUAUUAUUAUCCGCCAAUGGGGCAGCCGGCAGGUCCGGGCCCUGGAGGAAUGAUGAUUGGGAGGCCCGCCGUGGAUCCUACUGGAGUUUAUGUCCAGCCACCUUCACAGGCUUGGCAGUCUGUGUGGCAGACGGCUGCGGCUGAGGAUGGCUCGUAUGGAAGCGGAGGGAGCAGCGGGCAGGGGAACCUCGAUGGACAAGGUUAAGCAAGUCAGAUGCUGUGGUGCACCCAGAAGGCAAUGAACCUCAGCUAAUACUACUUGGAUUUUUGCUUGCCUAAGAUUGUUAAUGUGCGUGUCUGCUAUUAUUAAUGGAAGCUGUCUUUGAUUGUAACGGCAUAACUAGAAACUUAAAACGUUGACUUAAUUUUGUAACAGCCAUACAAUCGUUGUCAUGACUUGCCUGAUUAUAAACUAAUGUGCAGUUUCUUGAUUUACGAUCCUUUUCUUGGUGAUUCUGUUUUUCCUGUACUCAAGUUGAAUCUCGUUUGUGAAAGAUCAUACUUGAAAUGUUAAUUUUCAUUCUUUGCUUUGUCUUUUAUGUGAGUUUGAAACGGAACUGAACUUGUACCAUCCCGUUGCACUUUGAACUGGAUGAACUAGCCUGAAAUUUUCUUGCUGCCAGAAUGCAAUUUCUCGGUUUGGAAGCCAAGCUGACAGGGCUUUGGCGGGAGCCACUAAUCAGCACCCGAGACUAAUAUGUAGCUCUCCUACUCCUAAAGACGUGCACAUAUAUCCAGCUUUCUUAAUAGGUGUCCAGUGAAAUUUGGAUCUCUCUAUCCCAUCAGGCGAUAAGAGAAAAGCAAAGAAGCCAACAAAACAAGAAAGUCAUAGUGUCCAUCAUGGGAAAACAAUAGGAUCCUAAGUAGUAUGUCCUGUGAUUAUAUGAAAUGAGGCUAUAUAUUUGGUAGUUUUGGAAAUUCCAUUUUGUAGUAUCAUUAUUAUUUACUUUGC
RNAcentral lists this unclassified non-coding RNA (1842 nucleotides) under Hevea brasiliensis (rubber tree). Lineage: Eukaryota; Viridiplantae; Streptophyta; Magnoliopsida; Malpighiales; Euphorbiaceae. The record is from RNAcentral.